Alnus glutinosa is the source of this 1180-nucleotide long non-coding RNA. RefSeq lists it as uncharacterized. The transcript has 3 exons. The record is from RefSeq and is a predicted model, not a curated record. NCBI's taxonomy places the organism in Eukaryota, Viridiplantae, Streptophyta, Magnoliopsida, Fagales, Betulaceae.
UGCUUGUUCUUUUCUUGUUGUUCUUCUUUCUUCUUCUUUCUACUUCUUCUCUGUUCUUCUUUUCUUCUUCUCUUUACCAAAUGAGAGAGUUGAGAGACAGUGAGAGUGAGAUCGUGGGACUGAGAGAGAGUGGAGAGACAGAGAGAUGAGACCGAGAGAGAGAUGCCGUGAGGAAGACCUGACCUCCGUGAGGUUAGGUUUUCCGACCAACCAUGGUGAGUCUCAGGGGACGCCGGCGGAGCUGGAGGACGCGAUUUUCGGCGUGGCAGAGUGAUUUCCGGCGGAACCCAGACCCAAUUUCUGGCGAACUCGUGCGUUGAAACCCAUCUAACCCGUGAGACCCGAGAACCCGUUGGACCAGAUCCUCCAUGAUCGGCGGCCGGGGCUGAAAUCCGGCUGUCCCUUUAGCAGUUUCCGGCGAGUCAUGACCCGUGUGUGUGUGAAACUCGUGCAACCCGAAACACGUGACCCAUGACCCGCUGAACCCAUGUGGAGACCCGGUUCUCCAUGUGUGUUUUCCGGCAACAUUUCCGGCGACUGCCAGUGGCGUUUUCCGGCGGAUUUAUUGAGGAAAAUCCCCAAGGAUCGUGUUCGAAUUGGAGACUUUAAUUGGUUCUCCAAUGUAGAGUCCAAGUGACUAGAGUUCAAGGGAGUGUUCGAGUUGGAGUCCAAUGCAGCCAAGAUGAUAUUCCUGUGAUUGCAGGUACUCUUGAGGCGGAUGAUGAUCCGGUAGCUCACUACUUGGGAUACUACGAUUGAAGCCCAUAGCGACAGUCGUAGUGGGAUGGGACUGAGGUGUCCUCAUUUUGGGUACUUUUGUAUAUGGCUUGUGACGUGUGUGUCACAUUAUUUUGUAUAAGCCAUUCUUUUGUAUUAGUAAUAUGUAGUUAAACUUUAAACAGAUAGAUUUGUGUUAUGGCUCACUUAUGUAUAGAUAACAGGUUCAUUUAUAGUUAUGCUUUUCCGCUAUGUGUAUUGGUAUCAUGAUUUAUUCCGCUGUAGAUGUAACUCUGUAUAUCAGGUACAUGUUAUGGGACAUGUCUAUGUUGGCUGAGCGACACUUAGUCGUGCCACUGCGAUGACUCGUUUAUGUUUGUAAAAAAAAAAAAAAAACGGGUCGUCACAUUUACCCACAAAGAACAUUAAAUGAAGGCUAGCUUUAAGUCGUUUGAGAGUUGGA